UACGUAGGGGCCGAGCGUUGUCCGGAGUUAUUGGGCGUAAAGCGCGCGCAGGCGGCUUGGCGCGCCCGACGUGAAAGCCCCCGGCUUAACCGGGGAGGGUCGUCGGGUACGGCCAGGCUUGAGGGCGGGAGAGGGUGGUGGAAUUCCCGGUGUAGUGGUGAAAUGCGUAGAGAUCGGGAGGAACACCUGUGGCGAAGGCGGCCACCUGGGCCGACCCUGACGCUGAGGCGCGAAGGCGUGGGGAGCGAACGGG
RNAcentral lists this ribosomal RNA (253 nucleotides) under uncultured bacterium. Its description in RNAcentral is "partial 16S ribosomal RNA". It matches the Rfam family "Bacterial small subunit ribosomal RNA", at positions 524 to 776 of the family's 1533-position model. The record is from RNAcentral.